This 407-nucleotide ribosomal RNA is filed under the name uncultured bacterium. RNAcentral's name for it is "partial 16S ribosomal RNA". It matches the Rfam family "Bacterial small subunit ribosomal RNA", at positions 30 to 526 of the family's 1533-position model. The record is from RNAcentral.
AUUGAACGCUGGCGGCAGGCCUAACACAUGCAAGUCGAACGGCGCGGCGGACGGGGGAGUAAGGCCUAGGAAGCUGCAUGGUAGUGGGGGAUAACGUCCGGGAGCGGGCGCUAAUACCGCAUACUAUCAGAUGAGCCUAGGUCGGAUUAGCUAGUUGGUGGGGUAACGGCCUACCAAGGCGACGAUCCGUAACUGGUCUGAGAGGGUGAUCAGUCACACUGGAACUGAGACACGGUCCAGACUCCUACGGGAGGCAGCAGUGGGGAAUCUUCGACAAUGGACGAAAGCCUGAUCCAGCCAUGCCGCGUGUGUGAAGAAGGUCUUCGGAUUGUAAAGCACUGUUAGUUGGGAGGCGGUACCUGCAGAGGAAGCACCGGCUAACUCCGUGCCAGCAGCCGCGGUAAUUC